Molecule: unclassified non-coding RNA, 339 nt
Filed under: soil metagenome
Description: partial contains 5.8S ribosomal RNA, internal transcribed spacer 2, and large subunit ribosomal RNA
Rfam family: 5.8S ribosomal RNA (bases 1-120)
Source: RNAcentral
GAUGAAGAACGCAGCGAAAUGCGAUACGUAGUGUGAAUUGCAGAAUUCAGCGAAUCAUCGAAUCUUUGAACGCACAUUGCACCUCUCGGUAUUCCGGGAGGUAUGCCUGUUCGAGCGUCAUUUGUACCCUCAAGCUCUGCUUGGUGUUGGGUGUUUGUUCCGCCUCUGUGUGUGAACUCGCCUCAAAACAAUUGGCAGCCGGCGUACUUGUUUCGGAGCGCAGCACAUUUUGCGAUCCAGAUCAACGUACAGCGGCAUCCAAGAAGCCUUAUUUAACGCUCUUGACCUCGGAUCAGGUAGGGAUACCCGCUGAACUUAAGCAUAUCAAUAAGCGGAGGA